Molecule: ribosomal RNA, 463 nt
Filed under: uncultured bacterium
Lineage: Bacteria
Description: bacterial SSU rRNA
Rfam family: Bacterial small subunit ribosomal RNA
Source: RNAcentral
AGAGUUUGAUCAUGGCUCAGGAUGAAUGCCGGCGGCGUGCCUAAUACAUGCAAGUCGAGCGGUAAGGCCCUUCGGGGUACACGAGCGGCGGACGGCUGAGUAACGCGUGGGAACAUGCCCCAAAGUGAGGGAUAACGCACCGAAAGGUGUGCUAAUACCGCAUAUGGUCUUCGGAUUAAAGGAUUUAUCCGCUUUGGGAGUGGCCCGCGUACGAUUAGAUUGUUGGUGAGGUAACGGCUCACCAAGUCGACGAUCGUUAACUGGUCUGAGAGGAUGAUCAGUCAGACUGGAACUGAGACACGGUCCAGACUCCUACGGGAGGCAGCAGUAAGGAAUCUUCCACAAUGGGCGAAAGCCUGAUGGAGCAACGCCGCGUGCAGGAUGAAGGCCCUCGGGUCGUAAACUGCUUUUAUGAGUGAAGAAUAUGACGGUAACUCAUGAAUAAGCACCGGCUAACUACGUG